Molecule: ribosomal RNA, 449 nt
Filed under: uncultured bacterium
Lineage: Bacteria
Description: partial 16S ribosomal RNA
Rfam family: Bacterial small subunit ribosomal RNA
Source: RNAcentral
AGUGAACGCUGGCGGUAGGCCUAACACAUGCAAGUCGAACGAAGUCUUCGGACUUAGUGGCGGACGGGUGAGUAACACGUGGGAACGUGCCUUUAGGUUCGGAAUAACUCAGGGAAACUUGUGCUAAUACCGAAUGUGCCCUUCGGGGGAAAGAUUUAUCGCCUCUAGAGCGGCCCGCGUCUGAUUAGCUAGUUGGUGAGGUAAAGGCUCACCAAGGCGACGAUCAGUAGCUGGUCUGAGAGGAUGAUCAGCCACAUUGGGACUGAGACACGGCCCAAACUCCUACGGGAGGCAGCAGUGGGGAAUCUUGCGCAAUGGGCGAAAGCCUGACGCAGCCAUGCCGCGUGAAUGAUGAAGGUCUUAGGAUUGUAAAAUUCUUUCACCGGGGACGAUAAUGACGGUACCCGGAGAAGAAGCCCCGGCUAACUUCGUGCCAGCCGCCGCGGUAA